Small nuclear RNA from Echinops telfairi (small Madagascar hedgehog), 161 nucleotides. Its record names the gene U1. It matches the Rfam family "U1 spliceosomal RNA". Rfam says of the family: U1 is a small nuclear RNA (snRNA) component of the spliceosome (involved in pre-mRNA splicing). Its 5' end forms complementary base pairs with the 5' splice junction, thus defining the 5' donor site of an intron. There are significant differences in sequence and secondary structure between metazoan and yeast U1 snRNAs, the latter being much longer (568 nucleotides as compared to 164 nucleotides in human). NCBI's taxonomy places the organism in Eukaryota, Metazoa, Chordata, Mammalia, Afrosoricida, Tenrecidae. The record is from Ensembl.
CAAAAAAAUUGACAGAGGAGAUACUAUGAUCAUGAUGGUGGUUUUCCCAGAGUGAGGCUUAUCUGCACUCUGAACGUACUGACCUCUGUGAUUUCCCCAAAUGUGGGGAACUUUACUGCAUGGUUUAUGGUAGUGAGGUACUGUGUUCAUGCUCUUCUCUG